UUUGAAGGCAAUUGAAAGUUUAAAAUUACCUCAACUUUGAUGUUUCAUUGCCGUCUUAGGUCAGGGAAUGGCACAGCCAUUUCUUCUCAUUGUUAUGAGCAAAUUGAUUUUUUCAUUGUCAUAUGAGAAAAAAGUUGUGACAUGUGUCGCAUAUAGUUAUUUCUUUAAAUGGAUACGCACAUUAGCUUUGCAUGAUGGUUUAGCAAAAGAACAAAUUUAGUUGAAUGGAGUUUUUUUGGUUCAGUGUAUUUUUGAUGGUGCCAAUUGAAUAUCACCUAUACAUAU
Molecule: long non-coding RNA, 285 nt
Filed under: Sorghum bicolor (sorghum)
Lineage: Eukaryota; Viridiplantae; Streptophyta; Magnoliopsida; Poales; Poaceae
Description: long non-coding RNA (SBIC_LNC003042)
Source: RNAcentral